UACGAAGGGGGCUAGCGUUGUUCGGAAUUACUGGGCGUAAAGCACGCGCAGGCGGUUCUUCAAGUCAGAGGUGAAAGCCCAGAGCUCAACUCUGGAAUGGCCUUUGAGACUAGAGAACUUGGGUACGGGAGAGGUGAGUGGAAUUCCGAGUGUAGAGGUGAAAUUCGUAGAUAUUCGGAAGAACACCAGUGGCGAAGGCGACUUACUGGACACAUAUUGACGCUGAGGUGCGAAAGCGUGGGGAGCAAACAGG
Molecule: ribosomal RNA, 253 nt
Filed under: uncultured bacterium
Lineage: Bacteria
Description: partial 16S ribosomal RNA
Rfam family: Bacterial small subunit ribosomal RNA
Source: RNAcentral